UAACGGCGAGUGAAGCGGCAACAGCUCAAAUUUGAAAUCUGGCCCUUGGGUCCGAAUUGUAAUUUGUAGAGGAUGUUUCUGGCGACGUGUCUUCCGAGUUCCCUGGAACGGGACGCCAUAGAGGGUGAGAGCCCCGUCCGGUCGUACGCCUAGCCUCUGUGAAACUCCUUCGACGAGUCGAGUAGUUUGGGAAUGCUGCUCAAAAUGGGAGGUAUACGUCUUCUAAAGCUAAAUACCGGCCAGAGACCGAUAGCGCACAAGUAGAGUGAUCGAAAGAUGAAAAGCACUUUGAAAAGAGGGUUAAAUAGUACGUGAAAUUGCUGAAAGGGAAGCGCUCAUGACCAGACUUGGGCUCGGUGAAUCAUCCGGCGUUCUCGCCGGUGCACUUUGCCGGUCCAGGCCAGCAUCAGCUUGCCUCGGGGGAUAAAGGCUUCGGGAAUGUAGCUUCCUCGGAAGUGUUAUAGACCGUUGCGUAAUACCCUGGGGCGGGCUGAGGUACGCGUCUGCAAG
Molecule: ribosomal RNA, 510 nt
Filed under: Waltergamsia citrina
Lineage: Eukaryota; Fungi; Ascomycota; Sordariomycetes; Hypocreales; Bionectriaceae
Description: eukaryotic LSU rRNA
Rfam family: Eukaryotic large subunit ribosomal RNA
Source: RNAcentral